AUGAUCCUGCAGUAAUGAAUGUUAUCUUACAGUGGACAAAACAUAAGCUGAAGGAAUGGGGGAUAGAAAAGGAAACAAAAGUGACAUGGAGAGUUCAAGCAAAUGGAUAUGUGUUUUCACGAGUUACACACUUUUAAGUUUCAGCGGGCAGCAGUGGUGAUCCUGGCUCACUUUGACUCCAGUUGUGUGCUCAGAAGUGUCAACACUGUUGCAGGACAUAUAAAAGGAGUAAUUCUGUGCUGGUUAUGAAGAUCAGCAGUACAUGUAAAAUGUGUUAAUAUGAUUGAUAUAUUGUAAACUCCAUCAACAAUCUUAAAACAGUUAAAUGCUACUUUUAUUUAAAAAAAAUUAUUUGAGGUUUAUUUUGGCACAGCUGUGAUUUCACUUAGUAGGGGAUGUAAUUCUGUUUCUGUUUCUAACUUUAUUUUUUAAAUUCACCUGUUAUUAUAAAAUGACUAGUAUAUAAUAAUUAUAGUAUAGAUCAUUUUCUGUAUACCAUUCCAUAAAUAAAUCACUUA
Long non-coding RNA from Onychostoma macrolepis, 518 nucleotides. RefSeq lists it as uncharacterized. NCBI's taxonomy places the organism in Eukaryota, Metazoa, Chordata, Actinopteri, Cypriniformes, Cyprinidae. The transcript is spliced from 3 exons. The record is from RefSeq and is a predicted model, not a curated record.